This 402-nucleotide ribosomal RNA is filed under the name uncultured bacterium. RNAcentral describes it as "bacterial SSU rRNA". It matches the Rfam family "Bacterial small subunit ribosomal RNA", at positions 355 to 774 of the family's 1533-position model. The record is from RNAcentral.
UGGGGGAUAUUGGACAAUGGGGGCAACCCUGAUCCAGCGACGCCGCGUGAGGGAAGAAGGUUUUCGGAUUGUAAACCUCUGUUGACGGAGAAAAAAAUGAUGGUAUCCGUUUAGAAAGCCACGGCUAACUACGUGCCAGCAGCCGCGGUAAUACGUAGGUGGCAAGCGUUGUCCGGAAUUACUGGGUGUAAAGGGAGUGUAGGCGGGAUAUCAAGUCAGAAGUGAAAAUUACGGGCUCAACUCGUAACCUGCUUUUGAAACUGACAUUCUUGAGUGAAGUAGAGGCAAGCGGAAUUCCUAGUGUAGCGGUGAAAUGCGUAGAUAUUAGGAGGAACACCAGUGGCGAAGGCGGCUUGCUGGGCUUUUACUGACGCUGAGGCUCGAAAGCGUGGGGAGCAAACA